UACACGGUACGCACGGUACACUGACCAACCACCCAGCUCUACCCCAGUCCUGUAGGACCCCUGGGGUCUACGAUACACGAUAUACGUUUGACCCUCACCUGAUGUUCAGUAACAGGAUCCACCGGCGCAACAGGCUGAGACGGGCCUGAAGAGCAGGAGGAGAGGAGGGCUGUCUGAGCCCGUGCUGCUGUUCCCUAGUGUCUGAGACCUCAGCCCUGUAGGGGUUGGA
Long non-coding RNA from Oncorhynchus gorbuscha (pink salmon), 229 nucleotides. RefSeq lists it as uncharacterized. The record is from RefSeq and is a predicted model, not a curated record. The transcript is spliced from 2 exons. NCBI's taxonomy places the organism in Eukaryota, Metazoa, Chordata, Actinopteri, Salmoniformes, Salmonidae.